AUGGACGGAUGGAUGAGCCGAGCUCGCUCCCCAUCGCGGCGCGCCACGCCAUCGCAUUCUCCUUUCCAGGCGGCGCCCUGCCACCCAGGCAUGCGAGGGCGCGGAGGCCAACCGCGCGGCGGCGGCUCGCGGAAGGAGGGCGCGAGGGCCGGGCCCGAGUGGCGGCGCGCCGACGGCCGGGCCGAGGCGCUCGCCGCCGACCGCGCGCGGCUGGAGGCGGAGAACGAGGCCCUCCACGCGCGGCUCCGCCAGGCGGAGGCGAGCGGGAGGAAGCGGAGGACGGCCUACGUUCAGCCUUCUGCUAAUCCCAAGUUCGUCGGUGAGAACACACGGCCCGGCCCGGCCCUCGUUUCUUGGCCGCCCAUGAUAACCUGUAAUCUCACCUUGUUGGUUUGGUGCUACUCUUGCUCUGAUUGA
Molecule: ribosomal RNA, 417 nt
Filed under: Triticum aestivum (bread wheat)
Lineage: Eukaryota; Viridiplantae; Streptophyta; Magnoliopsida; Poales; Poaceae
Description: partial small subunit ribosomal RNA
Source: RNAcentral